This 439-nucleotide ribosomal RNA is filed under the name uncultured bacterium. RNAcentral's name for it is "partial 16S ribosomal RNA". It matches the Rfam family "Bacterial small subunit ribosomal RNA", at positions 339 to 795 of the family's 1533-position model. The record is from RNAcentral.
CUACGGGCCGCUGCAGCGGGGGAUAUUGCACAAUGGGCGAAAGCCUGAUGCAGCAACGCCGCGUGAAGGAAGACGGAUUUCGGUCUGUAAACUUCUAUCAGCUGGGAAGAAAAUGACGGUACCAGACUAAGAAGCCCCGGCUAACUACGUGCCAGCAGCCGCGGUAAUACGUAGGGGGCAAGCGUUAUCCGGAUUUACUGGGUGUAAAGGGUACGUAGGCGGUCGCUUAAGUCAGAUGUGAAAGCCCGAAGCUCAACUUCGGGACUGCAUUUGAAACUGGGUGACUAGAGUACAGGAGAGGAAAGCGGAAUUCCUAGUGUAGCGGUGAAAUGCGUAGAUAUUAGGAAGAACACCAGUGGCGAAGGCGGCUUUCUGGACUGUAACUGACGCUGAGGUACGAAAGCGUGGGGAGCGAACAGGAUUAGAUACCCGCGUAGUC